Long non-coding RNA from Triticum aestivum (bread wheat), 994 nucleotides. RefSeq lists it as uncharacterized. The record is from RefSeq and is a predicted model, not a curated record. The transcript is spliced from 3 exons. NCBI's taxonomy places the organism in Eukaryota, Viridiplantae, Streptophyta, Magnoliopsida, Poales, Poaceae.
CCUCAAUACUCCACCGUCUCUUCCUCUUCUUACUAGAAAAACAUGCCAAGCAAACUUGCCGUACAGAAUCUCGAAUAUCUCUCCUUUUUCAUGUGAAACAAAUCCAUUGUCUAUCUCAAACAGGAUCAAGCAAGUUGGGUUAUGGAUCCGGUGUGCUAUUGUCCACAGCUAGAUCAGAAUCUCUACCGUCCCUCUCUUUUUCCAUGUGAAACAAAUCCAUGUCUCUCUCAAAUACGAUCGAGCAAGAUGUGGUAUGGAUCCUGUGCUAUUUUCUACAUAUAGAUCAGGAUAUAUUCUUUCUAUUUAACAGUGAUGGAUUAGGAUUACUAAUGAAAGGAUCUCUUCCCAUGAUCUCCUUACUAUUCACUGAUAUAGCUAAAGAUAUAUUCCAAUGUUUCCGCAAAAGGAUCAGCCACUCAGACAGGCACAUAUGUUGAUUCGAAUCAUUGAAUAUUCUACUUCCAUACUGUAUCAUAGUCCGACAAGACAUAUUGCUCUUGGAAUAACUAAUAAUAUUCUAUUUUCAAGAAUUUUUUCAUACAUAGAUGACAGUGUAGUGAUUAUGUAAUUUUAUUUCUUAUCUAGAGAGAUAAAAUUGGAGUAAUAUGUACUUCCUAUUACAUAUUCUAUUAUCUGUUUUUUUAUAUUUAAAUUAUGAUAAGUGGUGGAUAUUAAACUUAUAUGCUAAUAAGACAAGAUGGAACUGCACCAAUAUAAAUUGUGGCACUUAUCGAUUCCCCUGCUACUGGCAAAGGAAUUAUAUUCCUUAAAACAAUAUCUCAUAUUAUAUAUAAUUAAAAAUAGUAGAUUACAUUAAAAUAGUAACUUACUCCCUUCGUCCCGCAAUAUAAGACGUUUUUGCGAUCUAAAACAUCUUAUAUUGUGGGACGGAGGGAGUACAAAAGUAGGCCGUGCAUUCGCAUGGGUCAACGACUAGUACAAGUAAUUGAUGUGCUUUCCAUUGAACGAGACGGGUUCAUUUCUGAUGUCCGGA